This 496-nucleotide ribosomal RNA is filed under the name uncultured bacterium. RNAcentral describes it as "partial 16S ribosomal RNA". It matches the Rfam family "Bacterial small subunit ribosomal RNA", at positions 28 to 507 of the family's 1533-position model. The record is from RNAcentral.
GAUGAACGCUGGCGGCGUGCCUAAUACAUGCCAGUCGAGCGAACGGACGAGAAGCUUGCUUCUCUGAUGUUAGCGGCGGACGGGUGAGUAACACGUGGAUAACCUACCUAUAAGACUGGGAUAACUUCGGGAAACCGGAGCUAAUACCGGAUGAUAUUUUGAACCGCAUGGUUCAAAAGUGAAAGACGGUCUUGCUGUCACUUAUAGAUGGAUCCGCGCUGCAUUAGCUAGUUGGUAAGGUAACGGCUUACCAAGGCAACGAUGCAUAGCCGACCUGAGAGGGUGAUCGGCCACACUGGAACUGAGACACGGUCCAGACUCCUACGGGAGGCAGCAGUAGGGAAUCUUCCGCAAUGGGCGAAAGCCUGACGGAGCAACGCCGCGUGAGUGAUGAAGGUCUUCGGAUCGUAAAACUCUGUUAUAGGGAAGAACAUAUGUGUAAGUAACUGUGCACAUCUUGACGGUACCUAAUCAGAAAGCCACGGCUAACUACGUG